AUGUACAAAGCCACCUAGUAAAGACAGAAUAUAUGUGCCCCUCAGCAUCCGGGAUGGGGAAGCAAAGCAGUACGGAGGCUGGGAGGUGAAGUGCCAGCUCUCUGGACAGUGGCUCGCUCACGCCAUCCAGACUGUAAGAUUUACUCAUGAAUCCUCGACUGCCCUUGAAAUUCCUAACGACCUGUUACAGACCAUCCAGGAUCUCAUUUUGGAUCUCCGAGUACGUUGCGUAAUGGUCACAUUGCAGCACACGGCGGAAGAAAUAAAGAGAUUGGCUGAAAAAGAAGACUGGAUUGUUGAUAAUGAAAGACUGACUUCUCUACCAUGUCAGUUUGAACAGUGCAUCGUGUGUUCUCUGCAGUCACUGAAGGGGGUUCUGGAGUGUAAGCCGGGAGAGGCCAGUGUCUUUCAACAACCUAAAACACAGGAGGAGGUUUGCCAACUAAGCAUUAAUAUAAUGCAGGUUUUUACACACUGUCUGGAACAGUUGAGCAUCAAGCCUGAUGCAGAUAUAGAUAUUACACAUCUCUCUGUUGAUGUUUCUUCCGCUGAUUUGUUUGGAAGUAUCCACGAAGACUUCAGCUUGACCUCUGAACAGCGCCUUUUGAUAGUCCUAAGUAAUUACUGCUAUCUAGAACGUCACACCUUCCUAAAUAUCGCAGAACAUUUUCAAAAGCACAACUUCCAGGGAAUAGAAAAAAUAACACAGGUUAGCAUGGCCUCAUUGAAAGAACUAGAUCAAAGACUCUUUGAAAAUUACAUCAAGUUGAAAGCAGAUCCCGUCGUUAGCUACUUAGAACCUGGAAUUUGUGCAGGAUAUUUUGAUUGUAAAGACUGCCUGCUUCCAACAGGUGUCAGCAACUAUUUAAAAGAAGCACUGGUGAAUAUAAUUGCUGCGCACGCAGAGGUGUUCACUAUUUCCAAAGAACUGGCCCCUCAGGUACUGUUCAAGGUGACAGAAGCAGUUUCUGAAGAGCUCAGUCGACUGAUGCAAUGUGUUUCAUCCUUCAGCAAAAAUGGAGCUCUACAGGCAAGACUUGAAAUCUGUGCUUUAAGGGACACUGUGGCUGUUUACCUGACACCUGAAAGCAAGUCAAGUUUUAAGCAGACCUUGGAAGCCCUGCCCCAGCUUUCCAGUGGAGCAGAUAAAAAGUUACUGGAAGAGCUCCUGAUCAAGUUCAAGAGUAGCAUGCACUUGCAGCUCACCUGUUUCCAAGCAGCUUCUUCAACCAUAAUGAAAACAUAA
This is an RNA transcript of Mandrillus leucophaeus (drill), 1246 nucleotides long. It is a transcript of the gene named exocyst complex component 2 pseudogene, with no coding region annotated. Lineage: Eukaryota; Metazoa; Chordata; Mammalia; Primates; Cercopithecidae. The transcript has a single exon. The record is from RefSeq and is a predicted model, not a curated record.